This 766-nucleotide small RNA is filed under the name Oryza sativa Japonica Group (Japanese rice). RNAcentral describes it as "sRNA Os05g0132650". The record is from RNAcentral. Lineage: Eukaryota; Viridiplantae; Streptophyta; Magnoliopsida; Poales; Poaceae.
UGAUAAUUCUCUAUUGUUUAUAUUUCACUGAUCUCUACCUUUUUUUUCUUCUUCUUUAGUAAAUUAAGCGCUAAACAAUGAUUUUAUACUGCAGAUGUUUGUUUGGAAGCUGUCAAAAUAUGACAUACUGGAUGAUCAAAACCCUAUAUCUCCCAUCAGUAUCAACAACAGCGUAAGCAGUUUCUUCGGUUGCCACAGUGGCAAGAGGGAGGAAGAAACAUCAUCAUCCAUCAUGAUUUUAAUACAAGAUCCUCCUCAAACAGCAUUGUUUUACAUCAUACCUGAAAAAGUAGCUACGAAAUCGUUCCAUAUAGCAUUGCAAGUACAAGUAAGCAUUGUGAUGUUCUCGUAGCUUGCGAACCGGUGCUACCCCGACUGAGCUUUUCUUCUUCUAAAAACUUCUCCAACCACCAUACAUCUUUUCUGGUGCUUUAUUUGUGCUAGAAUUAAUAUUCUUGACCUUGUAAGGCCUUUUUCUUGACCUUGUAAGGCCCUCUCACAUCGUUUUCCAUCUCAUUAUGUACCUCGUGCAUCUCUUUCUUGAUAUCUACAAGAAUGAACCUGCCAUCGCCAAGUUGGCCAGCCAUCUCCUACCUCAUGUUCCCUUCUCCCUUCUAUCCCUCCUGAGCUAGCUGCACCAUCAUAGCCUUUUUAUGAGAUAAUCUCAAUUAAUGGCUAGUGUUUUUAGGCACUUGUGAGUUUCUCCCACAUCCUAGUAGUUAAUGCUACUUCUGGUCAUCCAUUGAUUUGCUCUUAUAUGCAAAAU